Long non-coding RNA from Oreochromis niloticus (Nile tilapia), 1605 nucleotides. RefSeq lists it as uncharacterized. The record is from RefSeq and is a predicted model, not a curated record. Lineage: Eukaryota; Metazoa; Chordata; Actinopteri; Cichliformes; Cichlidae. The transcript is spliced from 2 exons.
GGAAACAAACAGAAACUGUGUCAGCGGCGGGUUCUGGAGAAUAAACUUUCCCUUUGAAUUUUUACGGUUAAUGCGCUCAAAGUUAACUUGGUGCAUUACAUCUUGAAUAAAAAGACCAAACAGGAGGGUUGGCCUCUGCCUUCUUGUUUCACUACAGUAUAAUUGGAGAGCUGUGCCUCGGUCAGUGCUGCAGUGAGCUACAGUAAAGAGAGGAAAGGUUGAGCGAAUCCUUAGGCUGAUUAAUGACCCCAGGAACUGAUGGUUUAUCACAGAUCUGCCUCACACAUCCAGUCAUCUUUCACGUCAGGUGAUUAAUUACAGGGAUUAAUUAGGUUCAACACAGGCUCUUUAGUGUGGUUAAAAAAAGCGAAGGCCUCCAACAAUUUCAAAUGCAUGACCAUUUGUCAUAGGUGUGUAAAUCCAGUUGCUGCUCAGGAGCACAGGGAUGAUGUAUGAAUCCACCUGGACCCGCUCAUUAAGAAUGCUCUCAUUAGCCUGCUGUGCACAGCGAGCUCUGGGCCCGGGCUGCUGGAACGAGCAAGGCCACCGCACCAUGCAGCACACAGCCAGAUAAACAGAACAGCAGAUGCAGCCAGAAAAACAAGUAGGCUAAGGUGCUCAUGUGAUCACACAAAGGAUGUGCUGGAGCAGUAUAAAGACAGCACUGUGAACAAGCAAUUUAGUCACUUAAAUGUAUCCUCUACUCCACUGUUUCAUGUCGCACAGCUUGCAUAUCCUCAUAAAUGUAGCUGUACACAAAUGAAUCAAAUUAUUACUGGCAUGUGAUGAGAUGGAAUAUUGCUGUAACGAUGACACAUCUAUGCCCUGAUAUUAAUUAACCUAUGAAAGAACCAGCGGAAAAGAAUCUCAUCCAAAUUUAUUCCGCAUAUCGAGUUGACUGGCAUGCCCGUAGGGGUACCUCACAGCUUAAUCAUCAAUAGCUGGCAACACUUCCUGUAAUUUGAACAACAAGAGAUCAAAGUCCAUAUUCUGUCAAACAAGCCUAGAAGCAGCCUUGAAAAACAAACACCUACGCCUACAAAGAUGAUUUAGUUAGUCCAAGCUCGCGGAAAAAAUUCUGAGCAGGUGCAAAAACAAGCUUCAGGUUGCUGAUCUAUAACCCCCUGCCGAAACCAAAAGGAUUUUCAAAGCAAACAUGGAUCCGGCCCAGGCCCGGUGACAGCGCUCCACCCUGAUCUCUGCUCAAAGGGUUAACGAUACAACAGAGUGACGCUGCAAGCUCCCCGCUCAGGUCAGCCGGGCCUCCAGCCAGGAUGAAGGAGACGAAGAUCCCUUCUCCAUCCUCCCCGCCAACGAUGUUGAAGCCCAGACCAGUAGAGCCCUUGUGCAGCACCACCUUCCUUGGCUCCCUGUCAAAUAGAGUGGCGGUGUCAGGGUGAAGGGCGGGACAAAGACUGUAUAAAAAGAGGCUAAAUUUAAAAGAGACGUGGCCAAAACUGAAAUAGAAUUAGCAUCAACAGAGAGUACAGAGACUAGUUUGUUAUGUGAAUGAUCCCAAAAUGUCAAGUGUGUCCAGUUUAGGCAGCUACAUGCAGCAGGCCUGCAGAUGGUUUAUUGUAGGCUCACUCUGUUUAUAUACUUGAA